Molecule: small RNA, 64 nt
Filed under: Salmonella enterica subsp. enterica serovar Muenchen
Lineage: Bacteria; Pseudomonadati; Pseudomonadota; Gammaproteobacteria; Enterobacterales; Enterobacteriaceae
Also listed under: 24 other names
Description: partial RtT sRNA
Rfam family: RtT RNA
About the family: This family represents a bacterial cis-regulatory element known as RtT RNA. The exact function of RtT is unknown although it is thought that it may be involved in changing the cellular response in relation to amino acid starvation.
Source: RNAcentral
UUGCCGCAGGCAACGACCCGAAGGGCGAAGCGCGCAGCGCUGAGUCAUCCUUCCCCCACCACCA